AUUGAACGCUGGCGGCAGGCCUAACACAUGCAAGUCGAACGGUAACAGGAAGAAGCUUGCUUCUUUGCUGACGAGUGGCGGACGGGUGAGUAAUGUCUGGGAAACUGCCUGAUGGAGGGGGAUAACUACUGGAAACGGUAGCUAAUACCGCAUAACGUCGCAAGGCCAAAAAGGGGGACCUUCGGGCCUCUUGCCAUCGGAUGUGCCCAGAUGGGAUUAGCUAGUAGGUGGGGUAACGGCUCACCUAGGCGACGAUCCCUAGCUGGUCUGAGAGGAUGACCAGCCACACUGGAACUGAGACACGGUCCAGACUCCUACGGGAGGCAGCAGUGGGGAAUAUUGCACAAAGGGCGCAAGCCUGAUGCAGCCAUGCCGCGUGUAUGAAGAAGGCCUUCGGGUUGUAAAGUACUUUCAGCGGGGAGGAAGGGAGUAAAGUUAAUACCUUUGCUCAUUGACGUUACCCGCAGAAGAAGCACCGGCUAACUCCGUG
RNAcentral lists this ribosomal RNA (490 nucleotides) under uncultured bacterium. Its description in RNAcentral is "partial 16S ribosomal RNA". It matches the Rfam family "Bacterial small subunit ribosomal RNA", at positions 30 to 507 of the family's 1533-position model. The record is from RNAcentral.